This is a long non-coding RNA of Homo sapiens (human), 565 nucleotides long. Ensembl annotates it as long intergenic non-protein coding RNA 1392. The record is from Ensembl. Lineage: Eukaryota; Metazoa; Chordata; Mammalia; Primates; Hominidae.
ACUCAAAGCCUUUGUUACACUAUUUAUGACUCACACUUAGUAAUGCUCACCCAAUUACCUUUCCUAGUAUAUCUUCAUCUUGUUAAAGUGUAUGAGAACUGCUUUGGAGAGUCUAAUAAGUCCAAAUGAGCAUUAAAAAGGAGAGAGAGUAGGAGAAGUAUCUCUUGAGAAAGAUUAAAAAGCGAGCACAGGCUGAGUGCAGUGGGUCACGCCUGUAGUCUCAGCACUUUGGGAGGUCGAGGUAGGCAGAUUGCUGGAACUCAGGAGUUCGAGACCAGCCUGGACAACAUGGCAAAAUCCUGUUUCUACAAAAGGACUGUUUUCUAUUUGAUUGGGAAGUGUUAGAAUGGCAACAGUGACAAAUCCUGUGGCAAAUCUUCAUGCAAAGGUCUUUGGUGUUUCUUUAAUUUCAUAUAUAUUACCUACUAUGUGACAAGCACACUGUGCCAGGUUCCAAAUAUAAAAGAGUAAAUUAAGGAAUGCAUUAUAGCUGUUAAAGCAAUCUUAAGGGAAAUCCGAAGCUUCCACUGCAGCACCAUGCUUAGUAAAACCAACUGGAUAAUAU